This 3491-nucleotide long non-coding RNA is filed under the name Gossypium barbadense (sea-island cotton). RNAcentral describes it as "long non-coding RNA (GBAR_LNC019543)". Lineage: Eukaryota; Viridiplantae; Streptophyta; Magnoliopsida; Malvales; Malvaceae. The record is from RNAcentral.
AAGUUAAAUGUUACCGGAUUCAAAUAUCAGACACUAUUGUUGAAGCAGCUUGAACCAUCUUCUAUUUCAAAUCAAAUACAAAUAUCAAGCUUUUAUCACAUUAUACAAAACAUUCAUUUUGAUUAAAAACAAAUUCAAGUCAUUUUAAACACUUUAGAAUCAUUUUUAAAUAAGUUCUAGGUGCUUGGGGAUGAUCGAGACCAAGUUCGAGUCUCCAGGAGUCAAAACAAGUAAAAAUAGGGGAGAGAUCCCUAUCUGCCAGACGUGUAUCUGUAGAAGUUCCUGCUACUGAUUUACUUGUACCGAUACAUCUUACCACUUGCAUUGGUAGAAGUUUGUCAGGAUCCAAAAAAUGACCCUAAAACACACCUAAUUUGAUCUAAAACAAUACCAAAUCAUUUCUAAACAUUAUGAAACACUAAAUACAAGUUUUAAACACCAUUUAAGCAUCUUUAAACACAUUCAAACAUAAGCCUUCAAACAUGAAGAUCACUUUACCAAUUUCAUACUUCAAUUUUAUCUACUUGACAUGGAAGCAACCAAUGACUGAUAGCAUAGCAUUAAUUUAAGAUCAUGCAUCUCAACUUAAUCACAUAAUCAUAUCAUCGAACACUUAGAUUAUUGAACAUGUUUAACUUGUAUUUUUUUAAGCAUAGAAGAUACCAUGGCAUCAUAAUUGACUCCAAAAACUAAAUUACAACACUAGAUACAUGCCGACUCUAUUUUAGCAUUCAACUUACGAUUCAAACAUUACUGAGCUGAGAUUUGAAACCUGGAUGCUGCCAACCUUCUUGAAUCCACAAGACCUAAUUGAAACCUGCGCACAGAAACAAACAAAUCCACACACUAAACAAAAGAGCUCAAUGGUCUAACAUAAUUUGAAAACAAUGUAUAUAAUAAAAUUUAAACAUAUAAAUUUGAUAUAAAAUCAUUUUUAACAAGUGUAUAUCAAGGAAUCUUUGUUUCAUGUCCUUUACUAAAACUUUCAUACCAAAUUCACGCUCGAGUUAAGUCUCAUAUAACAUCAUCUCAUUAUGCCUUUAAUGCCAUGCACUAUCAUGUCUAGUAUCAUCAAUUAGAUUUAAGCAUAACAUCAAUACUAUCUCAAUUUAAUUAAUAAUCAUAUGGCAUUCUCAUACCACUAUUGAUAUCUCAACAUCAUGAUUCAAAAGGCAUUUCAUAUACAAAUAUUCAUUUUCUCAUUUCAUGAUCGGAUCCAUUGAUUCAUUUUAUAACCAUAUCGGCCCUCAGGGCCCAUAAUAUCCGAAUCGCAUGGUUUUUCACGUGCUAUCUUUCCAUACUUUAAUAAUUCAUUUUCAAUUUCCACGAUCAACAUUUAACAUUAAACUUUUAAACUUAUUAAGCAAAUCACAUGAUUUAUAAUCCCUAUUAACCAAACACAAAGUCAAGAUGGAUACACGGAUCAACCAAUCAUUACACCAAAAUAGCUGACACUCAAUGCAUCAUCGGUACGUCCGAAAUAAUGCGCGCUCCGCGCCUCAUCAGUAUUAGACCUGUCCAUGGGCCAGGCCGGGCUGGGUUCGGGCCGGGCCCACAAAAAAUUUUCAGCCCGUUUACUAGGCCCGGGCCCGGCCCAAAAUAUGGGCCCGAGAUUUUGUCCAGGCCCGGCCCGAAGAAAAAAUACGGGGCCCGGCCCGGCUCAGCCCGUUUUUAAUUAAAAUUAAAAUUAAAAUUAUUUUUUUAAUAAAAUUAAAACUAAUUGUUAUUAAAAUUAAUUGUUAGUAAAAUUAUCAAAUUAUUAAUUGUUAAUUGUAUUAAUUGUUGUAAUAAAAUCUAACAUUUGAUUAGUAAAUUUAUCAAAUUAUUAAUUGUAUUAAUUGUUGUAAUAAAAUCUAAUAUUUGAUUAGUAAAUUUAUCAAAUUAUUAAUUGUAUUAAUUGUUGUAACAAAAUCUAACAUUUGAUUAGUAAAACAAACUUGAUGUUUUAUUAUUAUUAUUUUGUAACACUAGUCAAGGAAAUGAAAGUAAAUAAACUUAAAAUAAAAAAAACUAUUAUAUUUUAAAAAUAAAAAAUAUAUAUUUAAUAUUUUCGGGCCGGGCCGGGCCCGGGCCAAAAAAUCUUGCCCAAGGCCCGGCCCAUUUUUUAAACGGGCCUAAAAUUUUGCCCAAGCCCAUAUUUCGGGCCUAUAUUUUUACCCAAACCCUCCCAUAUUUUGGUCGGGCCGGGCCGGGCCGCCCGGCCCAUGGACAGGUCUAAUCAGUAUGAACCGAAGUAAUAAAUGUAAAUGCGCCUAGCACCUCAUUGGUAAAAACCAAAAUAAACCCCAUACACUAAUCCUAUAUCAUGCCAACUAUAUCUAACUCUAUCCGAGACCGUUAAUUGUAUUCAAUAUUUCAAAGUAUAUAUGUUCCACAUGUUAUUAACUUUUAUAUAUCAAAUUCAUCUCUCUCUAAAAUCAUUUAUCAUUUCAUAACAUUACUAUUCUUUUACAUCUCAUAUACAAUCAAUAUGGCAAUUCACAUAUCAAUUUCAUGCUUUUAUAUAUCAUCUACUUAAGUAUUCAUACUUUCACAUAUCAAUAUCACAUUUAUCUCAUAGUUACAUUUUCACAUCAAGAUACGCAUACAUACAAAUACACAAACUAUCAUCACACUAUAAUCAUUCAUCUUAUAUACUAUCAUCACAGUUUUCACAAGUUCACAACCAUAUAAUACUUACCAAAUCAUGAGACAAGUAGGGUCAUUACCUUAAUCAAGCUAUUUUGUAACAAGUCAUAUAUAUAAUAUUCAAAUCAUGAAACCACAAACCGGAUAAAGCUACUCGUCUACGGUUUCCGCCUUUCCUUUAUCCCGCGACGUCCCAACGCCGUCUUUAGCUACGUACGAUAAUUCGAUUAUUGACGCGAUAUUAGUUUUCAUACAAACACAUCAAUUAAACAUAAAUUGCAUUUUAUUCAUUUUAGCCCCUAUAAGCCCUAAUAUCCGAAAUGCUUGUAUUUUUCGAUAUCUAAUAUCAAAUCAAAAUUUAAUUUCAUAUUUUUUCAUUAGGGACCCAAAGCUUUCAAUCUACAACAAAAUUUUCUAACCACUUUCACUCUAUUUAAUUUGAUCCCUAAUGUCAUAAAAUUAAUUAUAGGUUUUAGUUGAAUUUCUAAUCAAAUCCAACACUUUUCUCUACUUUCUAACUUAGUCCUAAUAUAAUUUAAGCUAAUCCUUCAAAAAUCUAUUACUAUCAAUUUUAAUUUCAUGAAAACUCAUUAAUGGAAACUUGGAUUUAACUUGACAAUUUGGAAAUCUAAAACAUGUGCAAGACUAAGCUUAGUUGAUAAAAUAUCUAUAAUAAUCUCAUGAAAAUAACUUGGUUACCUUGGUUAUUUGGGACCGAAAUUUGAAGAAAACUUAACCUUCUUUUUCUCUUUUCUAUUCGGUUUGAGAGGUAGGAGAUAAUAUUUUUGUUUUUCUCUCACCCACUUGCUCGCCAUAUAUAUAUAGAUUAACAUGGUUAUUAACUUAGUUAACUAAUAAUUAAC